Molecule: ribosomal RNA, 647 nt
Filed under: uncultured Vibrio sp.
Lineage: Bacteria; Pseudomonadati; Pseudomonadota; Gammaproteobacteria; Vibrionales; Vibrionaceae
Description: bacterial SSU rRNA
Rfam family: Bacterial small subunit ribosomal RNA
Source: RNAcentral
UGCAAGUCGAGCGGCAGCGACAACAUUGACCCUUCGGGUGAUUUGUUGGGCGGCGAGCGGCGGACGGGUGAGUAAUGGCUGGGAACCUGCCCUGACGUGGGGGAUAACAGUUGGAAACGACUGCUAAUACCGCAUGAUGUCUUCGGACCAAAGAGGAGGACCUUCGGGCUUCUCGCGUCGGGAUGGGCCCAGUUGGGAUUAGCUAGUUGGUGAGGUAAUGGCUCACCAAGGCGACGAUCCCUAGCUGGUUUGAGAGGAUGAUCAGCCACACUGGAACUGAGACACGGUCCAGACUCCUACGGGAGGCAGCAGUGGGGAAUAUUGCACAAUGGGCGCAAGCCUGAUGCAGCCAUGCCGCGUGUGUGAAGAAGGCCUUCGGGUUGUAAAGCACUUUCAGCAGUGAGGAAGGCGUAGUGGUUAAUACCCGUUGCGCUUGACGUUAGCUGCAGAAGAAGCACCGGCUAACUCCGUGCCAGCAGCCGCGGUAAUACGGAGGGUGCGAGCGUUAAUCGGAAUUACUGGGCGUAAAGCGCAUGCAGGCGGUUUGUUAAGCAAGAUGUGAAAGCCCCGGGCUCAACCUGGGAACCGCAUUUUGAACUGGCAGGCUAGAGUCUUGUAGAGGGGGGUAGAAUUUCAGGUGUAGCGGG